Molecule: ribosomal RNA, 302 nt
Filed under: uncultured bacterium
Lineage: Bacteria
Description: bacterial SSU rRNA
Rfam family: Bacterial small subunit ribosomal RNA
Source: RNAcentral
GACGAACGCUGGCGGCGUGCUUAACACAUGCAAGUCGAACGGAAAGGCCCUGCUUGCAGGGUACUCGAGUGGCGAACGGGUGAGUAACACGUGGGUGAUCUGCCUCGUACUUCGGGAUAAGCCUGGGAAACUGGGUCUAAUACCGGAUAGGACCUUCUUUUAGUGUGGAAGGUGGAAAGUUUUCGGUACGAGAUGAGCCCGCGGCCUAUCAGCUUGUUGGUGGGGUAAUGGCCUACCAAGGCGACGACGGGUAGCCGGCCUGAGAGGGUGUACGGCCACAUUGGGACUGAGACACGGCCCAG